RNAcentral lists this long non-coding RNA (201 nucleotides) under Homo sapiens (human). RNAcentral's name for it is "long non-coding RNA NONHSAT202847". Lineage: Eukaryota; Metazoa; Chordata; Mammalia; Primates; Hominidae. The record is from RNAcentral.
UGAGGAUGAUUUUACAACACAAUGGGGCAUUUGGCAAUGUGAGACAUUUUUGAUCGUUCCAACUUGGGGGCAAAAUUACCAGUGGUGCUGAGGUUGAGAAGCCUUGUGUCAAGGGGAUAUGUUAAUAUAUGCUCAAAGGAGUCGUUCAUAUUGGAAGGUUAGCAGAUUUGCUGUGUGUGGAUAAAAUAUUUAGCUUAAUUG